This 440-nucleotide ribosomal RNA is filed under the name uncultured bacterium. Its description in RNAcentral is "partial 16S ribosomal RNA". It matches the Rfam family "Bacterial small subunit ribosomal RNA", at positions 338 to 795 of the family's 1533-position model. The record is from RNAcentral.
CCUACGGGGGGCAGCAGUGGGGAAUAUUGCACAAUGGGGGAAACCCUGAUGCAGCAACGCCGCGUGAGUGAAGAAGUAUUUCGGUAUGUAAAGCUCUAUCAGCAGGGAAGAGAAUGACGGUACCUGAGUAAGAAGCCCCGGCUAACUACGUGCCAGCAGCCGCGGUAAUACGUAGGGGGCAAGCGUUAUCCGGAUUUACUGGGUGUAAGGGGAGCGUAGACGGCUGGCCAAGUCUGAAGUGAAAGCCCGGGGCUUAACCCCGGAACGGCUUUGGAAACUGGCCGGCUGGAGUGCUGGAGAGGCAGGCGGAAUUCCUGGUGUAGCGGUGAAAUGCGUAGAUAUCAGGAGGAACACCGGUGGCGAAGGCGGCCUGCUGGACAGUAACUGACGUUGAGGCUCGAAAGCGUGGGGAGCAAACAGGAUUAGAUACCCUUGUAGUC